CCUACGGGCGGCAGCAGUCGAGAAUCAUUCACAAUGGGGGAAACCCUGAUGGUGCGACGCCGCGUGGGGGAAUGAAGGUCUUCGGAUUGUAAACCCCUGUCAUGUGGGAGCAAAUCAAAAAGAUAGUACCACAAGAGGAAGAGACGGCUAACUCUGUGCCAGCAGCCGCGGUAAUACAGCGGUCUCAAGCGUUGUUCGGAACCACUGGGCGUAAGGCGUGCGUAGGCGGUUUCGUAAGUCGUGGGUGAAAGGCGCGGGCUCAACCCGCGGACGGAACAUGAUACUGCGGGACUAGAGUAAUGGGGGAGGAACCGGAAUUCUCGGUGUAGCAGUGAAAUGCGUAGAUAUCGAGAGGAACACUCGUGGCGAAGGCGGGUUCCUGGACAUUAACUGACGCUGAGGCACGAAGGCCAGGGGAGCGAAAGGGAUUAGAUACCCGGGUAGUC
RNAcentral lists this ribosomal RNA (446 nucleotides) under uncultured bacterium. RNAcentral describes it as "partial 16S ribosomal RNA". It matches the Rfam family "Bacterial small subunit ribosomal RNA", at positions 338 to 795 of the family's 1533-position model. The record is from RNAcentral.